UAGGGAAUCUUCGGCAAUGGGGGCAACCCUGACCGAGCAACGCCGCGUGAGUGAAGAAGGUUUUCGGAUCGUAAAGCUCUGUUGUAAGAGAAGAACGAGUGUGAGAGUGGAAAGUUCACACUGUGACGGUAACUUACCAGAAAGGGACGGCUAACUACGUGCCAGCAGCCGCGGUAAUACGUAGGUCCCGAGCGUUAUCCGGAUUUAUUGGGCGUAAAGCGAGCGCAGGCGGUUAGAUAAGUCUGAAGUUAAAGGCUGUGGCUUAACCAUAGUACGCUUUGGAAACUGUUUAACUUGAGUGCAGAAGGGGAGAGUGGAAUUCCAUGUGUAGCGGUGAAAUGCGUAGAUAUAUGGAGGAACACCGGUGGCGAAAGCGGCUCUCUGGUCUGUAACUGACGCUGAGGCUCGAAAGCGUGGGGAGCAAACAGGAUUAGAUACCCUGGUAGUCCACGCCGUANACGAUGAGUGCUAGGUGUUGGGUCCUUUCCGGGACUCAGUGCCGCAGCUAACGCAUUAAGCACUCCGCCNGGGGAGUACGACCGCANGGUUG
Molecule: ribosomal RNA, 550 nt
Filed under: uncultured bacterium
Lineage: Bacteria
Description: bacterial SSU rRNA
Rfam family: Bacterial small subunit ribosomal RNA
Source: RNAcentral